UGUUAACACAGUAACUGACGACAUUUGUGGAAUAGACCACUUGGGAGCUGUGUUUAUAUCGGGUCGGGUCGUCUGGGCAGAGAUA
RNAcentral lists this non-coding RNA (85 nucleotides) under Bacillus sp. (in: firmicutes). RNAcentral's name for it is "Bacillus sp. ZTP sequence". It matches the Rfam family "ZMP/ZTP riboswitch aptamer (pfl RNA motif)". Rfam says of the family: Previously known as pfl RNA. ZMP is also known as AICAR. RNAcentral also lists the same sequence under 1 other name. Lineage: Bacteria; Bacillati; Bacillota; Bacilli; Caryophanales; Bacillaceae. The record is from RNAcentral.